RNAcentral lists this small RNA (585 nucleotides) under Pongo abelii (Sumatran orangutan). RNAcentral describes it as "processed transcript". The record is from RNAcentral. Lineage: Eukaryota; Metazoa; Chordata; Mammalia; Primates; Hominidae.
UGCUUCUGGAGGGGACAUGCCGGUGGUUCUCAUAGCAACCAGCACCAAAUGAAAGAGUACACGUCAUGGAAAUCACCUGCUAAGAAGCUGACUAAUGCAUUAAGCAAGUCCCUGAGCUGUGCUUCUAGCCGUGAACCUUUGCACCCCAUGUUCCCAGAUCAGCCUGAGAAGCCACUCAACUUGGCUCACAUCGUGCCUCCCAGACCUGUAACCAGCAUGAACGACACCCUGUUCUCCCACUCUGUUCCCUCCUCAGGAAGUCCUUUUAUUACCAGGAGGUUACCUGAGGGGAUAAGUGCAUCCAGCCCUGUGGCUGAAGAGCAUUCCCUCAUAAAGCUGUACGUAAAUCAGCUUGAUCACGGUGCACGCAUGCUUGAGAGUUCAAACCGGCUUGAUGAAGAACACAGGCUAAUCGCCAGGUAUGCGGCAAGGCUGGCAGCAGAGUCCUCUUCGUCUCAGCCAACUCAGCAGAGAAGUGCUCCUGACAUCUCUUUCACCAUCGAUGCGAAUAAGCAGCAAAGGCAGCUGAUUGCUGAGCUAGAAAACAAGAACAGAGAAAUCUUACAGGAGAUCCAGAGACUUCGG